This 1025-nucleotide ribosomal RNA is filed under the name Salmonella enterica subsp. enterica serovar Enteritidis. Its description in RNAcentral is "partial 23S ribosomal RNA". It matches the Rfam family "Bacterial large subunit ribosomal RNA", at positions 161 to 1224 of the family's 2925-position model. The record is from RNAcentral. Lineage: Bacteria; Pseudomonadati; Pseudomonadota; Gammaproteobacteria; Enterobacterales; Enterobacteriaceae.
AAUCCAUAGGUUAAUGAGGCGAACCGGGGGAACUGAAACAUCUAAGUACCCCGAGGAAAAGAAAUCAACCGAGAUUCCCCCAGUAGCGGCGAGCGAACGGGGAGGAGCCCAGAGCCUGAAUCAGCAUGUGUGUUAGUGGAAGCGUCUGGAAAGGCGCGCGAUACAGGGUGACAGCCCCGUACACAAAAGCGCAUGUGCUGUGAGCUCGAUGAGUAGGGCGGGACACGUGGUAUCCUGUCUGAAUAUGGGGGGACCAUCCUCCAAGGCUAAAUACUCCUGACUGACCGAUAGUGAACCAGUACCGUGAGGGAAAGGCGAAAAGAACCCCGGCGAGGGGAGUGAAAAAGAACCUGAAACCGUGUACGUACAAGCAGUGGGAGCACAGGUUUACCUGUGUGACUGCGUACCUUUUGUAUAAUGGGUCAGCGACUUAUAUUCUGUAGCAAGGUUAACCGAAUAGGGGAGCCGGAGGGAAACCGAGUCUUAAUUGGGCGUUAAGUUGCAGGGUAUAGACCCGAAACCCGGUGAUCUAGCCAUGGGCAGGUUGAAGGUUGGGUAACACUAACUGGAGGACCGAACCGACUAAUGUUGAAAAAUUAGCGGAUGACCUGUGGCUGGGGGUGAAAGGCCAAUCAAACCGGGAGAUAGCUGGUUCUCCCCGAAAGCUAUUUAGGUAGCGCCUCGUGAAUUCAUCUCCGGGGGUAGAGCACUGUUUCGGCUAGGGGGCCAUCCCGGCUUACCAACCCGAUGCAAACUGCGAAUACCGGAGAAUGUUAUCACGGGAGACACACGGCGGGUGCUAACGUCCGUCGUGAAGAGGGAAACAACCCAGACCGCCAGCUAAGGUCCCAAAGUCAUGGUUAAGUGGGAAACGAUGUGGGAAGGCCCAGACAGCCAGGAUGUUGGCUUAGAAGCAGCCAUCAUUUAAAGAAAGCGUAAUAGCUCACUGGUCGAGUCGGCCUGCGCGGAAGAUGUAACGGGGCUAAACCAUGCACCGAAGCUGCGGCAGCGACACUGUGUGUUGU